ACUUGAGGCAAAACCUUGGGAAUAAGAGUGUCAGAUUCAAGGACAAAGACCUUGAACAUUUUGGCCUGUGGAAUUGAAGUUGUAAUUUCUUUCUCAAAAGUCACAACUCCCAUGAUGGCCUCUAGUAAACGAUCAAGUGAAGGGAAUGAAUAAGGAAGAGGAUAUAAAGAUUUGUAGAAUGUAUUUCGAAGUGAGGUGUGGCAAAAUGCAAGAGCAAUGGGAAGUAUUUAUAGAAUGGGUGUCAUGAUUUCUUGUCAAAAUAUUCCCUGUAGAGGGGCAAACGAAUUUGCUGAAAGGUCAUAGAAAUCAAGCUCAAGUUUGAGAAUGAAUUAAAUAAAAAAGCUGGUGUGCUAAUAUGAAUUAAUAUGAUUGGUUGACCUUCUAGAUACGGCCACUUUUAACCAGUAUUCUAAAAGGAAAUGAAUGGCGGUACUACGUAUAGCAAUUCAGGAUGGAAUUAUUUUGCCAAAAUAAUAAAAGGAAAAGAAUAGUUUGUAGCAUUUCAAUUACUCAUUUGGGAUCAUGGUCUUUGCCAAAGUAUUAAUAGUUUAUAGCAUUUCAAAUCUCCCCUAUUGUAUUUUCUGAAUGAAUACGUUUUGUAAUUUAAGUAAAACAUGUUACUCGCCUAGUGUUCUACUACUAAAAUAAACGAUUUUAAUUAAAGGGAAGUCAUUAUUAAUAAGAAGCCAUCUUUUUCUAUGAUUGAAAUUAACUCUGAAGAUGAUUAUGUUUUAUAUUUUAUUUAGAAAUAAAGAUAACUAUAUAAGAUUAUAUAAUAAAAGGUGAGCUAACGCAAUGUGAGGCUUGAAUUAUAAUUUUUGUUAUUAAUAUGAAUCCGUUUUCUUUUCUUUGGUCAAUUCAGGUUGCUUAUUUCUAGUAGUUUAAAGAUUCUUUGACAUUUAGUUAAAUAUAAGUAAAACUUGAAUGAUAGUCAGGUCUCUUUUCAGAUUGAAAAAUUGUUGCUGUUGAACCAACAAUUGAUUGAUAGUAGGCCUGGCCACAGUUUAGGAACUUUUGAUUUGUGUUUUCAUGGCUCCUGAGACCGAUUGGUUCUAGUUUAUGAUUUCGAUUCCAACCAAUUUCAACUGGUGUAAAAAAAAGAUUGGCUUCAAACUUAAUUUUUUCUAUAAAAAAUCAAACUAUCUAUAUAAUAAAUGAUGUUAAUAAAAUAAAUGAGAUAAUGUUAAAAAUAAUUAUAUGAAGAAAAGAUUGAAAAUAAGUGAAAUAUUCUUUUCCAGGAUUUUGAUUCUAGCUUGAGGGGAAUCAGAGUACAGGAGUAGUUCGAGCCUUUUUCCGCAUUUGAUCGUCUGGGGUACGAGCCAGCAUGUUAGAAAGGCUAAUUGAUAAGGGUGUAUUUUUUAUUUGAAUUUUCUUUUUCAUAUUUCAAAUAUAUUUCACUCUUACGUUUUUCUUAUCUUUUGUUAAUAUGUCCUUUUCUUUUCAAUUCGCUAUAGUAAAUAUCCAUUUCAUCCAUUUUGUGAGAAAAUCAACUAGUUAAUGGAUUAAUUUUUUAAAAAUAAAAAUUCUAUUUGGCUCAUAAAAUUUCUGGUUUUUAGUUAAACUAAACUAAAAAAUAUAUUUCAUAAAUCUUGGAAAAACAAAUAAAAUUUUAAAGAAAUCAGACUAAAUAAAACUCUCACCAAAUCAUAAUAGAUUUAUUUUUACUUUACAUAUAUUUCCUUAAAAAAAAUUAAAAAAAUUGACUUAUUUAUUUAUUUUUAAAUAAAAGCAAUGACAAUUUAAUACCAAUUUUAUGCUGAUUUGAUAAGAAGAUUUAAUUUUAAAUGAAUUUCAUUACAUAAAAAAUUUAGACAUCAAAUAUAAUUUUUAAUUUUUUUAAUUAUUCCAUUUACUAGUUAAUGUUUGAUAAAAAUAGACAGAGAAAAUACUUAGUAUAAUGAAUUGAAAAUGCAAAAACGUAAAAGUACAAAUUUUGAAAUACAGAGAAACUAAAACAAAAAAAAUUACUAAAUGUUUAUUAUGAACUUGAGCUUUAUACUCCAUAAUUAAUUCAUUGAUGGAGUAUAUAAACCAACUAUUCAAUACAAGUAUACACCGUUAAACUUUUAUUGUCAGGUCAAAAAAGGUUUGACCCUCCAUCCAGAAAAAAAAAAAAAAAAAGAGAAAAAAUACAGAUAAUUAAUUUAGCAGGCAUCGGGAUUUGCCAAGACAUAAGCCUCAACGGCCUUAAACAUGCCGAAGGCCUUCUCUGCUCCAGCCUUCACUCUUUCUUCAUUGAUCUUACAGCCUUCCUUAGGGUAGUACUUGCUGAUGCUUUUGACAAUAGAUCCUCCAUCAGGAGAAGCCAUAACCUUAAUUUCAUAAGAAGUCUUCUCUAGUCCAUCCAUCCAUGGCUCACCUCCAAUGACACUGUAGCAGUGUGUGAAAUUAUCUUUGUCUGUUGCUUCAACUCUGGUCUUAAUAUACUUAACUUCACCACCUAAAAAAAAUUAAAGAACACGUUAAUUAUCUAAAUCUUAAUUUCAGUUUUACUUAUUAAUUUGAGCAAUGCAUGUAUAUCUAGUAUUUAAUAUAUGAUUUUUGAAAAAUUAUAGCUAACCUUCAGCAAAAGAAGUCUUUUUAAUGGUUCCUGGUCCGCCAUUUCCUUCAAGAAACUCAAUACUAACUUGAGGCAAAACCUUGGGAAUAAGAGUGUCAGAUUCAAGGAUGAAGGCCUUGAACAUUUUGGCCUGUGGAACUGAAGUUGUAAUUUCCUUCUCAAAAGUCACAACACCCAUGAUGGCCUCUGGUAAAGGAUAAAGUGAAGGGAAUGAAUAAGGAAGAGGAUAUAAGUAUUUGUAGAAUGUGUUUCAAAGUGAGGUUUGGCAAAAUGCAAGAGCAAAGGGAAGUAUUUAUAGAAUGGGUGUCAUGAUUUCUUGUCAAAAUAUUCCCUGUAGAGGGGCAAACGAAUUUGCAGAAAGGUCAUAGAAAUCAAGCUCAAGUUUGAGAAUGAAUUUUAUGAAAAAGCUGGUGUGCUAAUAUCCAUUAAUAUGAUUUGCUGACCUUCUAGAUACAGUCGCUUUUGACAGUAUCCUAAAUAAUAUACGGUUUUUAUUUUUAAUCAGUACUCUAAAGAGAAAUUGCCAAUAGAAAAAUGAAUGGUAUGCGCAUUGAUAGUACUUUAAAGACUAGUUUGUCUAUUACAUGUAUGGACUCUUCUGUGUAGCAAUCUGUUUUUUGUUUUUUUAUUUUCUGGUUAAUCGGAGCAGAAAGGCUUCACAAUUUCACAACUUCAGAAAUACGUGCUAUUGAGCCAAAGCUGAUUUAAAGAAUAUAUUGCUUACAUAUUAUUUUAGGCUAAUAUAACUCAAUUAGGAAGUUCCAACAUUUUUUUAAUUUAUUCUGUUAGAAGAAAAGAAUACUAUAUAAUUUUAUUUAUUCUUUUAUUAAUAUAUUAAAAUGCGCUAAGAGGAUAUGAAUCUAAUUGAAAUAUUCACGCGUAUUUAUUGGAAAUUUUUUCUGUCAUUUUAUUGAAAAGAAUAUUUUGGAUUAUUACCUAUGAUAUGCUCUUUGCUUAAGUUUUAGAUAUGCGACCAUUACCGUAUUAUAUUUGUGGUAGCAAUUAUAGUUCAAUGUCCUCUAUUUUAUGAAUGAGUUCAUGUUGAAUUUUAGGCAUUAAGGUAUGUAGAAUUUUAUGAUUGUGAUGAAAUUGAUUAAUGAUGAAAUGAUUUAUUAGGAUUUUGAGAUUUACAGUAUGAAGCAAUUUUGUUUAUAUACAUCCAUAUGUGCAACGGUCCCUAAUCUAUCCUAACGUCUGCCCAUGGUCUACGUAACGUCUAAUGCCCAUUUGGGAAAGGUCUGUGAUGACAUGUCUGUACAACUUCCUGCCGUACAGACUUGAGGCCUUCCUUAUGCUCCUUUUCUGUUUUGCUUGCUGUUUUUGUAUGUUUCGUAAUAUGGUCUUUCAACAAGGUAAGUAAAACAUGUUCCUUAUUUUGGGUUUUACUAUUUUUUUCAAAUGAAAGUUAUAUAAUACAUAUCCAGACAUCCUAACUAUGUUGACGCUUUAGAUUCUACUAUUAAUACAAACGAUCUUAUUGAAUUAAAAAAGGUCAUAACUAAUAAGAAAUCACCUUCAUAUGUGAUUGAAAUUAAUUUUUUGAAGACAAGUAUCGCGAUCUAUUUAGAGAUAUAGUUAACCUGACGCAACGUGUGACUUGAAUUUGUCAUCCCAUUUAAUAUGAUAGGUACUGUCUAUAUUUAAUUCAGGCUGCUUACUUUGAAAGAGGUUCAAUAUUCUAUGCAAAUAAAACUCGAAUGAUAGUCAAGUCUGUUUCGAGAAUUUAAAAAUAUGUAUCAAUCAAACCGAUAGGUGAUAAAUAGGAUUGUUCCGAUUCUUUUUUAUUUUAUUUUUAUGUUAGUAAGAAUAUGUAUUAGGUAGCGGCUUUGUUGUUUUGAAAUUUUAUAAGACUUUGUGCUCCCAAAUCUAUCCUAAUUUGGUAAAAAAAAAUAAUUCAGCUGAAUAUAAUAUUAAUUUAAAAAAAAAAAGUUUUCCAAAGAAGAUCUUGUCUUAAUGGAAUAACAUUUGAUUCUGGAUGAAUUUCAUUACAUCAAAAAUUUAUGGGUCAAAUAGAAUUUUUGAGUUUUUGAGUUAUUCCAUUUACAAGUUAAUUUUUGAUAAAAAUAAAUUGAGAAAUUAUUCAGUACAAUGAAAUAAAAAUAAAACAAAAUAAUACCAUAAAAUUGAAAAUGCAGAGUAACUAAAUAAAGGAAAUUACGAUAUAUUUAUUGUGAACUUGGGGCUUAUACUCCAUAAUUAAUCUAUUGAUAGAGUUUAAACCAAUCAGUCACUUUUAUUGUGUCAAAAGUGGUUUGACCCUCCAUCCCUAAAAAAAAAAAGAGAGAAAAAUACAUAAUAAAUAAAUAAAAACAUGAAAAUUAAUUCUUCACUCCAUGUUGGAUAGAUACAAAUUAGCAGGCAUCAGGAUUUGCCAAGACAUAAGCCUCAACAGCCUUAAACAUGUUGAAGGCCUUCUCUGCUCCAGCCUUGACUCUUUCUUCAUUGAUCUCGCAGCCUUCCUUAGGAUAGUACUUGCUGAUGCUCUUGAUAAUGGAUCCUCCAUCGGGAGAAGCCAUAACUUUAAUUUCAUAAGAAGUCUUCUCAAGUCCAUCCAUCCAUGGCUCACCUCCAAUAACGCUGUAGCAGUGUGUGAAAGUAUCUUUGUCUGUUGCUUCAACUCUGGUCUUAAUAUACUUAACUUCACUACCUAAAAAAAUGAAAGAACACGUUAAUUAUCUAAGUCAUAAUUUUCUUUUACUUAUUAAUUUGAGCAAUGCAUGUAUAUCUAAUAUUCAAUAUAUGACUUUUGAAAAAUUAUAGCUAACCUUCAGCAAAAGAAGUCUUUUUAAUGGUUCCUGGUCCGCCAUUUCCUUCAAGAAACUCAAUACUAACUUGAGGCAAAACCUUGGGAAUAAGAGUGUCAGAUUCAAGGACAAAGGCCUUGAACAUUUUGGCCUGUGGAAUUGAAGUUGUAAUUUCUUUCUCAAAAGUCACAACUCCCAUGAUGGCCUCUAGUAAACGAUCAAGUGAAGGGAAUGAAUAAGGAAGAGGAUAUAAAGAUUUGUAGAAUGUAUUUCGAAGUGAGGUGUGGCAAAAUGCAAGAGCAAUGGGAAG
RNAcentral lists this long non-coding RNA (5614 nucleotides) under Ricinus communis (castor bean). Its description in RNAcentral is "long non-coding RNA (RCOM_LNC003321)". Lineage: Eukaryota; Viridiplantae; Streptophyta; Magnoliopsida; Malpighiales; Euphorbiaceae. The record is from RNAcentral.